GACGAACGCUGGCGGCGUGCUUAACACAUGCAAGUCGAACGGAAAGGCCCUGCUUGCAGGGGACUCGAGUGGCGAACGGGGGAGUAACACGUGGGUGAUCUGCCCUGCACUUCGGGAUAAGCCUUGGAAACUGGGGCGAAUACCGGGUAGGAGCCAUUUUUAGUGUGAUGGUGGGAAAGUUUUUUCGGUGUAGGAUGGGCUCGCUGCCUAUCAGCUUGUUUGUGGGGGAAUGGCCUACCAAGGCGGCGACGGGUAGCCGGCCCGGGUGGGUGGACGGCCACCUUUGGAAUGGGAUAAGGGCCAGAACCCCACGGGGGGCCAGAGGGGGGGAUAUUGCAACAAGGGCGCAAGGCCGGUGGAGCGAAGCCGCGUGGGGGAUGACGGCCUUUGGGUUGUAAACCCCCUUCGCUAGGGAAGAAGCUUUUUGUGACGGUACCUAGAUAAGAAGCACCGGCUAACUACGUG
RNAcentral lists this ribosomal RNA (465 nucleotides) under uncultured bacterium. RNAcentral's name for it is "partial 16S ribosomal RNA". It matches the Rfam family "Bacterial small subunit ribosomal RNA", at positions 28 to 507 of the family's 1533-position model. The record is from RNAcentral.